This 518-nucleotide ribosomal RNA is filed under the name Boana marianitae. RNAcentral describes it as "Hypsiboas marianitae partial 16S ribosomal RNA". It matches the Rfam family "Bacterial large subunit ribosomal RNA", at positions 1823 to 2553 of the family's 2925-position model. The record is from RNAcentral. Lineage: Eukaryota; Metazoa; Chordata; Amphibia; Anura; Hylidae.
UCUUGACAAACAUAAGAGGUCCAGCCUGCCCAGUGACCCAGUUCAACGGCCGCGGUAUCCUAACCGUGCGAAGGUAGCGUAAUCACUUGUUCUUUAAAUGAGGACUAGUAUGAAUGGCAUCACGAGGGUUACACUGUCUCCUUUUUUUAAUCAGUAAAACUAAUCUUCCCGUGAAGAAGCGGGAAUAUUACUAUAAGACGAGAAGACCCUAUGGAGCUUUAAACAAAUUAACACUUGCUGCCUAAGGUAACUUUUCCAGAAACACAACACACAGCAUAGCAUGAUGAUUAAUAGUUUUCGAUUGGGGUGAUCACGGAGUAAAAAAUAACCUCCAUGCCGAAAGGGCUCCUCCCUGAGCAAAAAGCUACGACUUUAAGCACUAAAAAACUAACGUAUAUUGACCCAAUACUUUGAUCAACGAACCAAGUUACCCUAGGGAUAACAGCGCAAUCCACUUCAAGAGCCCCUAUCGACAAGUGGGUUUACGACCUCGAUGUUGGAUCAGGGUAUCCUAGUGG